Long non-coding RNA from Trifolium pratense (red clover), 708 nucleotides. RefSeq lists it as uncharacterized. The record is from RefSeq and is a predicted model, not a curated record. NCBI's taxonomy places the organism in Eukaryota, Viridiplantae, Streptophyta, Magnoliopsida, Fabales, Fabaceae. The transcript is spliced from 3 exons.
UUCACCGGUAGUGGAAUCCUAAUAGUGUUAUUAGUUUUUUCAUAUUCCCACUUUCCACUACCGAUCUAGCUUAUCACCGGUAGUGGAAUCCUAAUAGUGUUAAUUAUAUUUUUCAUUCUUCCCAAUUUCCCUCAUUCUGCAAACGCGAAGAAGAACACACUCUCCAAUCCAAUCGUCCCAAUUCUAGUUCUCCCUAAUUUGUUCCUCAAAUCGUCCCAAUUUCUUCAAAUCAAACACUCUCCAAUCGUUCUCCAAUCAUUCUCCAAUCUCUCCAAUCUCCAAUCGUCCCAAUUUCAUUCGCGGUUUCAUUCUCCAAACCCUAGACGGAACGACGAACCUGCAAACGCUUAAUCGCCUCCAAAUCUCUUCGUUUUCAUUCGGUAAAGGGGUGGAGCUGUUUUCUGUGUUAGGCGGUGGUUGCUGCUCCUACGUGUUGACUGCUGCUGUUUAGGGGCUGGUGUUGCUGUUUUUUGGUGUUGUCCUCUUUGUUUGAAGUUAGAAGGUUCAAUCACGGUCUCAUCUACAGGUAUGGACCGUAGUUGGAUGAGAGCUAAUCGAUUAAGUACUGAGUACAGACAUGGAGUGAUGGAAUUUCUACAGUUUGCGGAAAGUAAUGCUGAACUAGAACGUCCUCCUCCUGAAUUUCCUCCACUUUUUCUAUGUCCGUGUAUAAAUUGUGCAAAUAAAGAACCAAAACGUACUGAGAAA